This 292-nucleotide ribosomal RNA is filed under the name uncultured bacterium. RNAcentral's name for it is "partial 16S ribosomal RNA". It matches the Rfam family "Bacterial small subunit ribosomal RNA", at positions 505 to 796 of the family's 1533-position model. The record is from RNAcentral.
GUUCAAGCCGCCGCGGUAAUACGAAGGGGGCUAGCGUUGCUCGGAAUCACUGGGCGUAAAGGGUGCGUAGGCGGGUUUUUAAGUCAGAGGUGAAAUCCUGGAGCUCAACUCCAGAACUGCCUUUGAUACUGAGAAUCUUGAGUACGGGAGAGGUGAGUGGAACUGCGAGUGUAGAGGUGAAAUUCGUAGAUAUUCGCAAGAACACCAGUGGCGAAGGCGGCUCACUGGCCCGUAACUGACGCUGAGGCACGAAAGCGUGGGGAGCAAACAGGAUUAGAAACCCUGGUAGUCC